GACGAACGCUGGCGGCGUGCCUAAUACAUGCAAGUAGAACGCACAGGAUGCACCGUAGUUUACUACACCGUAUUCUGUGAGUUGCGAACGGGUGAGUAACGCGUAGGUAACCUGCCUGGUAGCGGGGGAUAACUAUUGGAAACGAUAGCUAAUACCGCAUAAGAACAUUUACUGCAUGGUAGAUGUUUAAAAGGUGCAAAAGCAUCACUACCAGAUGGACCUGCGUUGUAUUAGCUAGUUGGUGAGGUAACGGCUCACCAAGGCAACGAUACAUAGCCGACCUGAGAGGGUGAUCGGCCACACUGGGACUGAGACACGGCCCAGACUCCUACGGGAGGCGCAGUAGGGAAUCUUCGGCAAUGGGGGGAACCCUGACCGAGCAACGCCGCGUGAGUGAAGAAGGUUUUCGGAUCGUAAAGCUCUGUUGUUAAGGAAGAACGUGUGUGAGAGGGAAAGUUCACA
RNAcentral lists this ribosomal RNA (462 nucleotides) under Streptococcus constellatus. RNAcentral describes it as "bacterial SSU rRNA". It matches the Rfam family "Bacterial small subunit ribosomal RNA", at positions 28 to 468 of the family's 1533-position model. The record is from RNAcentral. Lineage: Bacteria; Bacillati; Bacillota; Bacilli; Lactobacillales; Streptococcaceae.